CAGCCGCCGCGGUAAUACGGAGGGUGCAAGCGUUAUCCGGAUUCACUGGGUUUAAAGGGUGCGUAGGCGGGUCUGUAAGUCAGUGGUGAAAUCCCGGAGCUCAACUUGGGAACUGCCGUUGAUACUAUCUGUCUUGAAUGUUGUGGAGGUAAGCGGAAUAUGUCAUGUAGCGGUGAAAUGCUUAGAUAUGACGUAGAACACCCAUUGCGAAGGCAGCUUACUACACGAAUAUUGACACUGAGGCACGAAAGCGUGGGGAUCAAACAGGAUUAGAUACCCUGGUAGUCCACGCCCUAAACUAUGGAUACUCGACAUCCCCGAUACACUGUGGGUGUCUGAGCGAAAGCAUUAAGUAUCCCACCUGGGAAGUACCAUCGCAGGAUUGAAACUCAAAUGAAUUGGCGGGGGAGCACAA
Molecule: ribosomal RNA, 415 nt
Filed under: uncultured archaeon
Lineage: Archaea
Description: bacterial SSU rRNA
Rfam family: Bacterial small subunit ribosomal RNA
Source: RNAcentral